AGAGUUUGAUCCUGGCUCAGGAUGAACGCUGGCGGCGUGCCUAACACAUGCAAGUCGAACGAUGAAACCGCCCCCGGGCGGACAUGAAGUGGCGAACGGGUGAGUAACACGUGACCGACCUGCCCCCCGCCCAGGGACAGCCCCCCGAAAGGGGGAUUAAUACCUGGUACUCCGGAAGCGGCGCAUGCCGCCCCCGGGAAAGCUCAGGCGGCGGGGGAUGGGGUCGCGGCCCAUCAGGUAGACGGCGGGGCAGAGGCCCACCGUGCCGACGACGGGUAGCCGGGUUGAGAGACCGACCGGCCACAUUGGGACUGAGAUACGGCCCAGACUCCUACGGGAGGCAGCAGUGGGGAAUUUUGCACAACGGGGGAAACCCUGAUGCAGCGACGCCGCGUGGAGGAAGAAGGUUUUCGGAUUGUAAACUCCUGUCGUUAGGGACGAUAAUGACGGUACCUAACAAGAAAGCACCGGCUAACUACGUGCCAGCAGCCGCGGUAAAACGUAGGGUGCAAGCGUUGUCCGGAAUUACUGGGUGUAAAGGGAGCGCAGGCGGACCGGCAAGUUGGAAGUGAAAACUAUGGGCUCAACCCAUAAAUUGCUUUCAAAACUGCUGGCCUUGAGUAGUGCAGAGGUAGGUGGAAUUCCCGGUGUAGCGGUGGAAUGCGUAGAUAUCGGGAGGAACACCAGUGGCGAAGGCGACCUACUGGGCACCAACUGACGCUGAGGCUCGAAAGCAUGGGUAGCAAACAGGAUUAGAUACCCUGGUAGUCCAUGCCGUAAACGAUGAUUACUAGGUGUUGGAGGAUUGACCCCUUCAGUGCCGCAGUUAACACAAUAAGUAAUCCACCUGGGGAGUACGACCGCAAGGUUGAAACUCAAAGGAAUUGACGGGGGCCCGCACAAGCAGUGGAGUAUGUGGUUUAAUUCGAAGCAACGCGAAGAACCUUACCAGGUCUUGACAUCCGAUGCAUAGUGCAGAGAUGCAUGAAGUCCUUCGGGACAUCGAGACAGGUGGUGCAUGGUUGUCGUCAGCUCGUGUCGUGAGAUGUUGGGUUAAGUCCCGCAACGAGCGCAACCCUUAUUGCCAGUUACUACGCAAGAGGACUCUGGCGAGACUGCCGUUGACAAAACGGAGGAAGGUGGGGAUGACGUCAAAUCAUCAUGCCCUUUAUGACCUGGGCUACACACGUACUACAAUGGCGUUUAACAAAGAGAAGCAAGACCGCGAGGUGGAGCAAAACUCAAAAACAACGUCUCAGUUCAGAUUGCAGGCUGCAACUCGCCUGCAUGAAGUCGGAAUUGCUAGUAAUCGCGGAUCAGCAUGCCGCGGUGAAUACGUUCCCGGGCCUUGUACACACCGCCCGUCACACCAUGAGAGCCGGGGGGACCCGAAGUCGGUAGUCUAACCGCAAGGAGGACGCCGCCGAAGGUAAAACUGGUGAUUGGGGUGAAGUCGUAACAAGGUA
This 1466-nucleotide ribosomal RNA is filed under the name metagenome. RNAcentral's name for it is "bacterial SSU rRNA". It matches the Rfam family "Bacterial small subunit ribosomal RNA". The record is from RNAcentral.